AUUGAACGCUGGCGGAAUGCUUUACACAUGCAGGUCGAGCGGCAGCGCGGGGGCAACCCUGGUGGCGAGCGGCGAACGGGUGAGUAAUACAUCGGAACGUGUCCUUAAGUGGGGGAUAGCUCGGCGAAAGCCGGAUUAAUACCGCAUAAGCUCUGAGGAGGAAAGCGGGGGAUUCGCAAGGACCUCGCGCUGUUGGAGCGGCCGAUGUCGGAUUAGCUAGUUGGUGGGGUAAAGGCCCACCAAGGCGACGAUCCGUAGCUGGUCUGAGAGGAUGAUCAGCCACACUGGAACUGAGACACGGUCCAGACUCCUACGGGAGGCAGCAGUGGGGAAUUUUGGACAAUGGGGGCAACCCUGAUCCAGCCAUUCCGCGUGAGUGAAGAAGGCCU
Molecule: ribosomal RNA, 389 nt
Filed under: uncultured bacterium
Lineage: Bacteria
Description: bacterial SSU rRNA
Rfam family: Bacterial small subunit ribosomal RNA
Source: RNAcentral